Molecule: long non-coding RNA, 975 nt
Organism: Falco peregrinus (peregrine falcon)
Lineage: Eukaryota; Metazoa; Chordata; Aves; Falconiformes; Falconidae
Exons: 2
Source: RefSeq, a predicted model, not a curated record
CGUCACUGCCCCCUCCCUGCCGCCGCCAUGCCAGCCUGGGCGGGCGGCGCUCAGGGCCUGGUACUGCCCUUGGCGGCGGGGGCCUCGUUUCUCGGCUGCUUCCAUCCCCAACCGGUAGCACGGUCUGGGGCCGUGCCACGCCGCCGUUCCGGGGAGCCCCGGCGCCGCGGGGAAGGGUGUGAUGACCAACUAUCAGACGAACCACCCUUUUGAAACUCAGGAAAAUGUCAGAGGGGACAAGGAUAGCUCCCACACGUCCUCUGGGACUGGCAGGAGAAUGCUGUGUAACCUGGGGUUCAGUGGCAGACCUGCAGUGCCUACGCAGCCUGAGUGCAGCCGACGGGAUGGCUCAGCUCAGCGGUGGUGGGUCUUUUGUGGGGGGUGGCAGAGGUUCGCUGAAUUAUACCUAGCUACAGCCCUGCUGGAGCAUAAUCUCUGUCUGUUUGAAGUUUGUAACCUUUCUUUCAAAACUGUCUGACAUGCUCAGAGCAAGGCUCUGCCAGCUCAGCGCUGCCUGUGCAGAGGAGCCAGGGAGCAGCGGGUUGCUGUGGGAACUGCCCGCUGUGCCAUCGCAAUGCUGCGGCCGUCGCAAGCUCUCCCGCUGCAAUCGGCACGGCCUGCUUCGGCUUCCCACUGCAUUUCCACAUGCUGCUUUUCACCUCCUCCUCAGCUCUGCCCGAUGAGUGCAGCCCAGCAAGACACCAGCGCGCCAGCUCGGGAGCGAGCGUGGGGAGAGCGAGGUGACGUGAGCCUGAGCUGCAAAUCUCUUCAUGGAUAGUGAGCCCCCAAAGCAGCCUUCCUGCCAUGUUCUCCUUGCAGGACUGCACCCACCUUGCUCCAGAGAGGAAUGGAAAAAACCAGGAAAGUCCAUGAUGAAUGCUGGAAGGAAAGAUCUUUUUCACUGGUUUUGUGAAGUUUAAUUUGUUAUUUAGGGUAAAAUUGCAGCAUUCAGAAAAUAAAGGCAUGAUGGAUAGA